RNAcentral lists this ribosomal RNA (461 nucleotides) under uncultured bacterium. RNAcentral's name for it is "bacterial SSU rRNA". It matches the Rfam family "Bacterial small subunit ribosomal RNA", at positions 339 to 792 of the family's 1533-position model. The record is from RNAcentral.
CUACGGGAGGCAGCAGUGGGGAAUUUUGCGCAAUGGACGAGAGUCUGACGCAGCAACGCCGCGUGGGUGAUGAAGGUCUUCGGACUGUAAAACCCUGUCGUCAGGGACGAAGGUGCGCGUGUUAAUAGCAUGCGUGCUUGACGGUACCUGGAGAGGAAGCCCCGGCUAACUCUGUGCCAGCAGCCGCGGUAAUACAGAGGGGGCAAGCGUUAUUCGGAAUUAUUGGGCGUAAAGGGCGCGUAGGCGGUUUUUUAAGUCAGAUGUGCAAUCCCCGAGCUCAACUUGGGAACUGCAUCUGAGACUGGAAGGCUAGAGUACUGGAGAGGGUGGUGGAAUUCCUCGUGUAGCGGUGAAAUGCGUAGAGAUGAGGAGGAACACCAGUGGCGAAGGCGGCCACCUGGACAGUAACUGACGCUGAGGCGCGAAAGUGUGGGUAGCAAACAGGAUUAGAUACCCUUGUA